RNAcentral lists this ribosomal RNA (407 nucleotides) under uncultured bacterium. RNAcentral's name for it is "bacterial SSU rRNA". It matches the Rfam family "Bacterial small subunit ribosomal RNA", at positions 355 to 776 of the family's 1533-position model. The record is from RNAcentral.
UGGGGAAUAUUGGGCAAUGGGCGCAAGCCUGACCCAGCAACGCCGCGUGAAGGAAGAAGGCUUUCGGGUUGUAAACUUCUUUGACAGAGGACGAAACAAAUGACGGUACUCUGAAAACAAGCCACGGCUAACUACGUGCCAGCAGCCGCGGUAAUACGUAGGUGGCGAGCGUUAUCCGGAUUUACUGGGUGUAAAGGGCGUGUAGGCGGGAUUACAAGUCAGAUGUGAAAACUAUGGGCUCAACCCAUAGCCUGCAUUUGAAACUGUAGUUCUUGAGUGAUGGAGAGGCAGGCGGAAUUCCUCGUGUAGCGGUGAAAUGCGUAGAUAUGAGGAGGAACACCAGUGGCGAAGGCGGCCUGCUGGACAUUAACUGACGCUGAGGCGCGAAAGCGUGGGGAGCAAACAGG